CGCGUAGGCGGCUUUGCGUGUCUUCCGUGAAAUCCCUCGGCUCAACCGAGGACGUGCGGAAGAAACUGCAAGGCUCGAGUCCGGAAGAGGGGGGCGGAAUUCCCAGUGUAGCGGUGAAAUGCGUAGAUAUUGGGAGGAACACCAGUGGCGAAGGCGGUCCCCUGGGCCGGAACUGACGCUGAGGCGCGAAAGCGUGGGUAGCAAACG
This 207-nucleotide ribosomal RNA is filed under the name uncultured bacterium. RNAcentral's name for it is "partial 16S ribosomal RNA". It matches the Rfam family "Bacterial small subunit ribosomal RNA", at positions 568 to 774 of the family's 1533-position model. The record is from RNAcentral.